This 351-nucleotide ribosomal RNA is filed under the name uncultured Diversispora. Its description in RNAcentral is "bacterial SSU rRNA". It matches the Rfam family "Eukaryotic small subunit ribosomal RNA", at positions 548 to 904 of the family's 1831-position model. The record is from RNAcentral. Lineage: Eukaryota; Fungi; Glomeromycota; Glomeromycetes; Diversisporales; Diversisporaceae.
UUGGAGGGCAAGUCUGGUGCCAGCAGCCGCGGUAAUUCCAGCUCCAAUAGCGUAUAUUAAAGUUGUUGCAGUUAAAAAGCUCGUAGUUGAACUUCGGGACUUGUCCAUUGGUCAGGCUUAACUGUCUGUACUGGUGAGUCGAAUUCCUACCUUCUGAGGAACUUCCAUGCCAUUCACUUGGUGUGUUGGGGAAUCAGGACUGUUACUUUGAAAGAAUUAGAGUGUUUAAAGCAGGCUCACGCUUGAAUACAUUAGCAUGGAAUAACGAAAUAGGACGUUGAGUUCUAUUUUGUUGGUUUCUAGGAUCGCGUAAUGAUUAAUAGGGAUAGUUGGGGGCAUUGUAUUCGAAUU